RNAcentral lists this ribosomal RNA (495 nucleotides) under uncultured bacterium. Its description in RNAcentral is "partial 16S ribosomal RNA". It matches the Rfam family "Bacterial small subunit ribosomal RNA", at positions 28 to 507 of the family's 1533-position model. The record is from RNAcentral.
GACGAACGCUGGCGGCGUGCCUAAUACAUGCAAGUCGAACGCUGAAGGAGGAGCUUGCUUCUCUGGAUGAGUUGCGAACGGGUGAGUAACGCGUAGGUAACCUGCCUGGUAGCGGGGGAUAACUAUUGGAAACGAUAGCUAAUACCGCAUAAGAGUAGAUGUUGCAUGACAUUUGCUUAAAAGGUGCAAUUGCAUCACUACCAGAUGGACCUGCGUUGUAUUAGCUAGUUGGUGGGGUAACGGCUCACCAAGGCGACGAUACAUAGCCGACCUGAGAGGGUGAUCGGCCACACUGGGACUGAGACACGGCCCAGACUCCUACGGGAGGCAGCAGUAUGGAAUCUUCGGCAAUGGACGGAAGUCUGACCGAGCAACGCCGCGUGAGUGAAGAAGGUUUUCGGAUCGUAAAGCUCUGUUGUAAGAGAAGAACGAGUGUGAGAGUGGAAAGUUCACACUGUGACGGUAUCUUACCAGAAAGGGACGGCUAACUACGUG